This 253-nucleotide ribosomal RNA is filed under the name uncultured bacterium. Its description in RNAcentral is "partial 16S ribosomal RNA". It matches the Rfam family "Bacterial small subunit ribosomal RNA", at positions 524 to 776 of the family's 1533-position model. The record is from RNAcentral.
UACGAAGGGGGCUAGCGUUGUUCGGAAUCACUGGGCGUAAAGCGCACGCAGGCGGAUAGUUAAGUCGGGGGUGAAAGCCCGGGGCUCAACCUCGGAAUUGCCUUCGAUACUGUCGGUCUCGAGUCCGGGAGAGGUGAGUGGAAUUCCUAGUGUAGAGGUGAAAUUCGUAGAUAUUAGGAAGAACACCAGUGGCGAAGGCGGCUCAAUGGCCCGAUACUGACGCUCAGGUGCGAAAGCGUGGGGAGCAAACAGG